Molecule: long non-coding RNA, 147 nt
Organism: Etheostoma cragini (Arkansas darter)
Lineage: Eukaryota; Metazoa; Chordata; Actinopteri; Perciformes; Percidae
Exons: 3
Source: RefSeq, a predicted model, not a curated record
UAAAGUGACAUGUGAUUAAUUAGCCUAUAGUGUGUGUGAUGGUGAACAGACUGAACUUUGAUUUCAGCAGCUGAUCUUCAGUCAGUGUCUCUGUCCACAGGAGAGACUCUCAGCCCUGCAGAGGACACAGAGACAUUGAGGAACCAG